This 468-nucleotide ribosomal RNA is filed under the name uncultured bacterium. RNAcentral's name for it is "partial 16S ribosomal RNA". It matches the Rfam family "Bacterial small subunit ribosomal RNA", at positions 28 to 507 of the family's 1533-position model. The record is from RNAcentral.
GACGAACGCUGGUGGCGUGCUUAACACAUGCAAGUCGAACGGAAAGGCCCUGCUUUUGUGGGGUGCUCGAGUGGCGAACGGGUGAGUAACACGUGAGUAACCUGCCCUUGACUUUGGGAUAACUUCAGGAAACUGGGGCUAAUACCGGAUAGGAGCUCCUGCUGCAUGGUGGGGGUUGGAAAGUUUCGGCGGUUGGGGAUGGACUCGCGGCUUAUCAGCUUGUUGGUGGGGUAGUGGCUUACCAAGGCUUUGACGGGUAGCCGGCCUGAGAGGGUGACCGGCCACAUUGGGACUGAGAUACGGCCCAGACUCCUACGGGAGGCAGCAGUGGGGAAUAUUGCACAAUGGGCGGAAGCCUGAUGCAGCAACGCCGCGUGCGGGAUGACGGCCUUCGGGUUGUAACCCGCUUUCGCCUGUGAUGAAGCGUGAGUGACGGUAAUGGGUAAAGAAGCACCGGCUAACUACGUG